Molecule: ribosomal RNA, 505 nt
Filed under: uncultured bacterium
Lineage: Bacteria
Description: partial 16S ribosomal RNA
Rfam family: Bacterial small subunit ribosomal RNA
Source: RNAcentral
GACGAACGCUGGCGGCGUGCCUAAUACAUGCAAGUAGAACGCACAGUUUAUACCGUAGCUUGCUACACCAUAGACUGUGAGUUGCGAACGGUUGAGUAACUCGUAUGUAACCUGCCUUGUAGCUGGGGAUAACUAUUUGAUACGAUAGCUAAUACCGCAUCAUAUUAAUUAUUUCAUGAUAAUUAAUUGAAAGGUGCAAUUGCACCACUACCUGAUGUACCUGCGUUGUAUUAGCUAGUAGGUGAGGUAACGGCUCACCUAGGCGACGAUACAUAGCCGAACGGAGAGGGUGAUUGGCCAGACUGGGAGGGAGACACGGCCCAGACGGCUACGGGAGGCAGCAGUAGGGAAACGUGGGCAAUGGGUGAAAGACAGAGCAAGCAACGCGGCGUGAGUGAAGAAGGUUGUCGGAUCGGAAAGCUCGGUUGUAAGGGAAGAACGGGUGUGAGAGUGGAAAGUACACAAUGUGACGGUACCUUAACAGAAAGGGACGGCUAACUACGUG